This is a non-coding RNA of Chrysemys picta bellii (western painted turtle), 727 nucleotides long. The record is from RefSeq and is a predicted model, not a curated record. Lineage: Eukaryota; Metazoa; Chordata; Testudines; Emydidae.
GCUGCUUUUUGGGUAUUAUUAUCAUGGUGUUUAAAAGCAGCAGCCCCUGCCUGCCAACGCUGGGGACGUGCUGGGCAUGCCUCUCGCAAAAAGAGCUCCAGAAAGGGCCCAGCCAAUGGCAAGGCGAGGCCAGCCGCUCCAAACUGAUCUUCCCUGCCUAGCCCUUCCUAAACAAAGGGUCUCCUAUGUGGGCUUUGCUCUGAGCAGAGGACACAGGGCAGGCACAAGCUGCGACAUGGAUUCGCGGCGGCGGAUCCGGCCCCGGCCCCGCGCGGCGCGCGCUGGAGAGGCUGAGCUCGCUUCCCCAGCGCAGCGCAGCGCCGCGGCCGGGCCGAUAUCCCCGCAGCAAGCGGUCUGGCCCGGCUCGCGUGUGGGGACGAGGCGACAAGCCUGGGUCGGCGUGAGGGGAGCCGGGCGGCGGCUUGGCCCCGCUCUUGCCGCCGGGGCUCAGGCAGCGGGCUCCGCUGAGCGCACCCCUCCCCCCGGGCAAGGCAGUAGGUGGGCCUGGCGAGCUCAGAAACCCAACCCAAGAGGAGCAGCAUCAAGAAUUCACCCUUCUCCUGCACAACUCACACCACUCCCAUCUCCAAAAUAUUGACUUUCUGAGAUAAAAAUAUCUUACCCCUUCAAUAAGCCAAAACGCCUCUAAAAGGAGGAACAAGAACUAGGACUGAGUGGACUUCUGGCUCUGAAGUUUUACAUUGUUUUGAGUGCACUUAUGUAAAAA